This 268-nucleotide unclassified non-coding RNA is filed under the name Hevea brasiliensis (rubber tree). Lineage: Eukaryota; Viridiplantae; Streptophyta; Magnoliopsida; Malpighiales; Euphorbiaceae. The record is from RNAcentral.
GUCGAUGGAGAGGUCGACGAUGGGAUGGGUGUCGAGAUCGGAGAGGGGGAUGCCGACGGCGGCGGCGUGGGCCUCGGUCUUCUUGGAGGUAGGGAUGCCGACGAUGUCGGAGAGGACGCCGCGGCGGAGGAGAUCGCCGAUGCGGUCGAGGGCGUGGGCAGCGGUGGAGCCGGUUCCGAGGCCGAGGACCAUGCCGGACUGCACGAGGUCGACGGCUCGGUGGGCGGCGAUGCGUUUGAGGUCGUCUUGGGUUGGGGCGACGGCGACG